GCCUGCUCCCCAUUGGUGUUACUUGGGCAACGGCGUUACGUCCCCACCGCUGAGCCAAACGUCAAAAGUCGCAACUACUUUUAAACGCACUAAAAGUAGCUUACUCGCUAUUGGUUCAGGUGGACGUAUUAGAGGGAACUGUGAAUCUAACAGCUGUCAAAGUACAAGCCACUUAACGACAUAUUUCCAUUCAUCCAUGUUUGGAUGCAAUUUUACCCGAGUUUAACUGUUACUGAGGCUCCUGGGUGUUGGUGAGAUAACUGCAUGCAACCAGUGGAGCAAGUAGCAAGUAUGCUGGGCUGUGGGCAACAUUUGGCAUUAUUGGCUCACUGCAUGAUUGGAUCCAGAAAGCCUGAUAAUAACAAGCAAGGAGCAGCAACGUACAUUCCAUGAGAUAAAAACUCAUCAUAAUAAUAAAAUAUGUAAUACUGGAGUUCAAGUCUGGCUAACAGGGUUGUCAAUAAACCAAUAUUCACAUA
Molecule: long non-coding RNA, 479 nt
Organism: Schistocerca americana (American grasshopper)
Lineage: Eukaryota; Metazoa; Arthropoda; Insecta; Orthoptera; Acrididae
Exons: 2
Source: RefSeq, a predicted model, not a curated record